This 2704-nucleotide ribosomal RNA is filed under the name Staphylococcus aureus. Its description in RNAcentral is "partial 23S ribosomal RNA". It matches the Rfam family "Bacterial large subunit ribosomal RNA". Lineage: Bacteria; Bacillati; Bacillota; Bacilli; Caryophanales; Staphylococcaceae. The record is from RNAcentral.
ACCCGGAGAACUGAAACAUCUUAGUACCCGGAGGAAGAGAAAGAAAAUUCGAUUCCCUUAGUAGCGGCGAGCGAAACGGGAAGAGCCCAAACCAACAAGCUUGCUUGUUGGGGUUGUAGGACACUCUAUACGGAGUUACAAAGGACGACAUUAGACGAAUCAUCUGGAAAGAUGAAUCAAAGAAGGUAAUAAUCCUGUAGUCGAAAAUGUUGUCUCUCUUGAGUGGAUCCUGAGUACGACGGAGCACGUGAAAUUCCGUCGGAAUCUGGGAGGACCAUCUCCUAAGGCUAAAUACUCUCUAGUGACCGAUAGUGAACCAGUACCGUGAGGGAAAGGUGAAAAGCACCCCGGAAGGGGAGUGAAAUAGAACCUGAAACCGUGUGCUUACAAGUAGUCAGAGCCCGUUAAUGGGUGAUGGCGUGCCUUUUGUAGAAUGAACCGGCGAGUUACGAUUUGAUGCAAGGUUAAGCAGUAAAUGUGGAGCCGUAGCGAAAGCGAGUCUGAAUAGGGCGUUUAGUAUUUGGUCGUAGACCCGAAACCAGGUGAUCUACCCUUGGUCAGGUUGAAGUUCAGGUAACACUGAAUGGAGGACCGAACCGACUUACGUUGAAAAGUGAGCGGAUGAACUGAGGGUAGCGGAGAAAUUCCAAUCGAACCUGGAGAUAGCUGGUUCUCUCCGAAAUAGCUUUAGGGCUAGCCUCAAGUGAUGAUUAUUGGAGGUAGAGCACUGUUUGGACGAGGGGCCCCUCUCGGGUUACCGAAUUCAGACAAACUCCGAAUGCCAAUUAAUUUAACUUGGGAGUCAGAACAUGGGUGAUAAGGUCCGUGUUCGAAAGGGAAACAGCCCAGACCACCAGCUAAGGUCCCAAAAUAUAUGUUAAGUGGAAAAGGAUGUGGCGUUGCCCAGACAACUAGGAUGUUGGCUUAGAAGCAGCCAUCAUUUAAAGAGUGCGUAAUAGCUCACUAGUCGAGUGACACUGCGCCGAAAAUGUACCGGGGCUAAACAUAUUACCGAAGCUGUGGAUUGUCCUUUGGACAAUGGUAGGAGAGCGUUCUAAGGGCGUUGAAGCAUGAUCGUAAGGACAUGUGGAGCGCUUAGAAGUGAGAAUGCCGGUGUGAGUAGCGAAAGACGGGUGAGAAUCCCGUCCACCGAUUGACUAAGGUUUCCAGAGGAAGGCUCGUCCGCUCUGGGUUAGUCGGGUCCUAAGCUGAGGCCGACAGGCGUAGGCGAUGGAUAACAGGUUGAUAUUCCUGUACCACCUAUAAUCGUUUUAAUCGAUGGGGGGACGCAGUAGGAUAGGCGAAGCGUGCGAUUGGAUUGCACGUCUAAGCAGUAAGGCUGAGUAUUAGGCAAAUCCGGUACUCGUUAAGGCUGAGCUGUGAUGGGGAGAAGACAUUGUGUCUUCGAGUCGUUGAUUUCACACUGCCGAGAAAAGCCUCUAGAUAGAAAAUAGGUGCCCGUACCGCAAACCGACACAGGUAGUCAAGAUGAGAAUUCUAAGGUGAGCGAGCGAACUCUCGUUAAGGAACUCGGCAAAAUGACCCCGUAACUUCGGGAGAAGGGGUGCUCUUUAGGGUUAACGCCCAGAAGAGCCGCAGUGAAUAGGCCCAAGCGACUGUUUAUCAAAAACACAGGUCUCUGCUAAACCGUAAGGUGAUGUAUAGGGGCUGACGCCUGCCCGGUGCUGGAAGGUUAAGAGGAGUGGUUAGCUUCUGCGAAGCUACGAAUCGAAGCCCCAGUAAACGGCGGCCGUAACUAUAACGGUCCUAAGGUAGCGAAAUUCCUUGUCGGGUAAGUUCCGACCCGCACGAAAGGCGUAACGAUUUGGGCACUGUCUCAACGAGAGACUCGGUGAAAUCAUAGUACCUGUGAAGAUGCAGGUUACCCGCGACAGGACGGAAAGACCCCGUGGAGCUUUACUGUAGCCUGAUAUUGAAAUUCGGCACAGCUUGUACAGGAUAGGUAGGAGCCUUUGAAACGUGAGCGCUAGCUUACGUGGAGGCGCUGGUGGGAUACUACCCUAGCUGUGUUGGCUUUCUAACCCGCACCACUUAUCGUGGUGGGAGACAGUGUCAGGCGGGCAGUUUGACUGGGGCGGUCGCCUCCUAAAAGGUAACGGAGGCGCUCAAAGGUUCCCUCAGAAUGGUUGGAAAUCAUUCAUAGAGUGUAAAGGCAUAAGGGAGCUUGACUGCGAGACCUACAAGUCGAGCAGGGUCGAAAGACGGACUUAGUGAUCCGGUGGUUCCGCAUGGAAGGGCCAUCGCUCAACGGAUAAAAGCUACCCCGGGGAUAACAGGCUUAUCUCCCCCAAGAGUUCACAUCGACGGGGAGGUUUGGCACCUCGAUGUCGGCUCAUCGCAUCCUGGGGCUGUAGUCGGUCCCAAGGGUUGGGCUGUUCGCCCAUUAAAGCGGUACGCGAGCUGGGUUCAGAACGUCGUGAGACAGUUCGGUCCCUAUCCGUCGUGGGCGUAGGAAAUUUGAGAGGAGCUGUCCUUAGUACGAGAGGACCGGGAUGGACAUACCUCUGGUGUACCAGUUGUCGUGCCAACGGCAUAGCUGGGUAGCUAUGUGUGGACGGGAUAAGUGCUGAAAGCAUCUAAGCAUGAAGCCCCCCUCAAGAUGAGAUUUCCCAACUUCGGUUAUAAGAUCCCUCAAAGAUGAUGAGGUUAAUAGGUUCGAGGUGGAAGCAUGGUGACAUGUGGA